GUGCCAGCAGCCGCGGUAAUACGGAGGGUGCGAGCGUUGUUCGGAAUCACUGGGCGUAAAGGGCGCGCAGGCGGUUUUAUAAGUCAGAUGUGAAAGCCCACGGCUUAACUGUGGAAGAGCAUUUGAAACUGUAAGACUUGAGUACCAGAGGGGAAGGUGGAAUUCCCGGUGUAGAGGUGAAAUUCGUAGAUAUCGGGAGGAAUACCGGUGGCGAAGGCGACCUUCUGGCUGGAUACUGACGCUGAGGCGCGAAAGCGUGGGGAGCAAACAGGAUUAGAUACCCCUGUAGUCC
This 292-nucleotide ribosomal RNA is filed under the name uncultured bacterium. RNAcentral's name for it is "partial 16S ribosomal RNA". It matches the Rfam family "Bacterial small subunit ribosomal RNA", at positions 505 to 796 of the family's 1533-position model. The record is from RNAcentral.